CAGGCUUAACACAUGCAAGUCGACCGUUAGGAUGGUCUUAGCUUGCUAAGGCCGAUGGCGACCGGCGCACGGGUGAGUAACACGUAUCCAACCUGCCGUCUACUCUUGGACAGCCUUCUGAAAGGAAGAUUAAUACAAGAUGGCAUCAUGAGUCCGCAUGUUCACAUGAUUAAAGGUAUUCCGGUAGACGAUGGGGAUGCGUUCCAUUAGAUAGUAGGCGGGGUAACGGCCCACCUAGUCUUCGAUGGAUAGGGGUUCUGAGAGGAAGGUCCCCCACAUUGGAACUGAGACACGGUCCAAACUCCUACGGGAGGCAGCAGUGAGGAAUAUUGGUCAAUGGGCGAGAGCCUGAACCAGCCAAGUAGCGUGAAGGAUGACUGCCCUAUGGGUUGUAAACUUCUUUUAUAAAGGAAUAAAGUCGGGUAUGGAUACCCGUUUGCAUGUACUUUAUGAAUAAGGAUCGGCUAACUCCGUGCCAGCAGCCGCGGUAAUACGGAGGAUCCGAGCGUUAUCCGGAUUUAUUGGGUUUAAAGGGAGCGUAGAUGGAUGUUUAAGUCAGUUGUGAAAGUUUGCGGCUCAACCGUAAAAUUGCAGUUGAUACUGGAUAUCUUGAGUGCAGUUGAGGCAGGCGGAAUUCGUGGUGUAGCGGUGAAAUGCUUAAAUAUCACGAAGAACUCCGAUUGCGAAGGCAGUCUGCUAAGCUGCACCUGACAUUGAGGCUCGAAAGUGUGGGUAUCAAACAGGAUUAGAUACCCUGGUAGUCCACACGGUAAACGAUGAAUACUCGCUGUUUGCGAUAUACUGCAAGCGGCCAAGCGAAAGCGUUAAGUAUUCCACCUGGGGAGUACGCCGGCAACGGUGAAACUCAAAGGAAUUGACGGGGGCCCGCACAAGCGGAGGAACAUGUGGUUUAAUUCGAUGAUACGCGAGGAACCUUACCCGGGCUUAAAUUGCAGAUGAAUUACGGUGAAAGCCGUAAGCCGCAAGGCAUCUGUGAAGGUGCUGCAUGGUUGUCGUCAGCUCGUGCCGUGAGGUGUCGGCUUAAGUGCCAUAACGAGCGCAACCCUUGUUGUCAGUUACUAACAGGUUCCGCUGAGGACUCUGACAAGACUGCCAUCGUAAGAUGUGAGGAAGGUGGGGAUGACGUCAAAUCAGCACGGCCCUUACGUCCGGGGCUACACACGUGUUACAAUGGGGGGUACAGAGGGCCGCUACCACGCGAGUGGAUGCCAAUCCCCAAAACCUCUCUCAGUUCGGACUGGAGUCUGCAACCCGACUCCACGAAGCUGGAUUCGCUAGUAAUCGCGCAUCAGCCACGGCGCGGUGAAUACGUUCCCGGGCCUUGUACACACCGCCCGUCAAGCCAUGGGAGCCGGGGGUACAAGAAGUGCGUAACCGCGAGGAGCGCCCUAGGGUAAAACCGGU
RNAcentral lists this ribosomal RNA (1425 nucleotides) under uncultured organism. RNAcentral describes it as "16S ribosomal RNA". It matches the Rfam family "Bacterial small subunit ribosomal RNA". The record is from RNAcentral.